This is a long non-coding RNA of Sycon ciliatum, 1058 nucleotides long. RefSeq lists it as uncharacterized. Lineage: Eukaryota; Metazoa; Porifera; Calcarea; Leucosolenida; Sycettidae. The record is from RefSeq and is a predicted model, not a curated record. The transcript is spliced from 3 exons.
CGAACCAGUUGUCAGUGGCAACAUAUAGGAAUCGUGUACAUUUCUUCGUUUCUUCUUUGCUGUUUUCAGUGAGUGUUUUGUUUUCUCUUUGUCCUUGAUCUCGACGAUGUUGUCGUGCUCAUUACCUUACUGAGACGUCUCUUGUGACUGUAGCCAGUGUCAUGGAGGAUUUUAUUGGCGUGACAAGGUAGAUCGCCGAGAUCGAGCGUGAAAAACGCUCUGCAUUAGUAGCUCCUGUAGAAUGUUUUCUGGGUUGGCGUAUCCAUGGUCAACAAAACCAAGGUGCAAGACAGCAUGAGAGAUCGUGUAAACGAUGUGAACUCCAAAAGAUAAUCUGGCCAAAUUUAUUGUAACUAGAGAGUGCAAUCGUGCACUGCUUGGGGCCCAUCCCAAUGUCAUCACAUGGCUGUGGUGACUAGUGUAUAUCUGGGAGAAUUUUUCCUCGACUGAUAUGGAGUGCAGGUGGAUCGAUUAUGAGAAAUGCGAACAUGUGAAGUUCAAGGCUAGAUGCACUUCACAUUCGGCGUGCGAUCUCAGCGUCUGGGACCUGAUGAAGUCUUGGUUGGAUGAUUAUUCAAGCCUGAUACUACUCGACACACCAAUGUUCAUGUCAAUGUAAUUUUUUCAGAGCUGCACUAUUUACGUGUUGAUGCUUACUUCGGUGUUAGCGUGUUUCCCCCGGAUUGUUUCUACCAUCAUGAUCGUGUGUUCUUGGGCUGAGCGAGCACAUGCACAAGUGUGCAGCUAUAACCCUGUGUAUCUUUGGUUACACUUUGUUCUGCAAUGCAUGUACCUUGUAACAUUAUGUGCUUGCACUGCUUUGUCUGGCCUGCGUAUUUCAGGACUAUUCAGUGCAUAAGACCCAGGUUUGUUUGGUUGCCGGAUGACCUCUUGUUGCGUCGCUCUGUAUUUGUAUUCAUCAAUUUUUGGGCUUGAGAAUUGAGCUGUUGUGUGGUUCCCAAUAUGAAAACAUCAUGCUGGUGCUCUGUGUUUCGAUUAUCGACUGUCGGAGCAGUCAUGCAUUUAUUAGCAGAACGGUCAAUACUGUAGUCUUUUCA